Molecule: long non-coding RNA, 2266 nt
Organism: Capsicum annuum
Lineage: Eukaryota; Viridiplantae; Streptophyta; Magnoliopsida; Solanales; Solanaceae
Exons: 3
Source: RefSeq, a predicted model, not a curated record
UCUUUUUUCAAUAAUCAGCCUCAACAAUGUAACAACCGACAAGAACAGCUUUAACGCUGUGACAGAAAAACAACGGCGAAAACCCAUCCCAACAAUAACGUUCACAGAACCAAAACGACGUUUAACAAAUCAAUAGCAAAAUCUCAAAUCGGCCGAAGUUCAGAAAGCUUUCAUUUUUUCAGCUUGGGAUUCACUAAUUUGGGCAAAAAAUUAUUUUUCUUUGACCAACACAACCAACAGCUCGUUUUGGUCUCUUUUGUCCUCUUUUUCAUCUGCCCGUUCUGAUUUAACUACCAAAUUGAUGCAAAGUCCAGUUGGUGUAUUGUCAGAUGGAGGAUCUCAAAAAUCUCUUUUUUUUUCUUUAUAAAAGAUUUCAAAUCCGGAAUUUGAAAACCCUAGCUAUUCCCCCCCAAUCUUCCCUAUAAAUAGAGGCCAGGGAGAAGGGGUGAAGAGGGAGGAUUUUUGGGGAAAAAUUGGGGGUUCUAAAGGUGCUUGUCUUUAAACCUCACGAAACCAAAAUUUUCGAAGACCGACGAAAUAUCGGAAUUCAACAUUGUUGUUCAAAUUCUGUUGGUUAGAAUCAACUCGAGGUGGUGAAAUUUCCUUCUAUUAAAAGCUCGUCGUCCCGGUGUCGCUGCUCGAAAAUAGGUAAAAGACGUUUCCCAAAAGAAAAGAAAGUGAAAGUGGAUCAACGUCUGACCACUAAAAAAAAGGGUACAGUACAGAGGGAUUCGGAGGAGCUUCUUGAACAAUCUCAGUCAGGGAAAAGUGAAGAUGAGGAGAGAUGUAAAAACAACAUUAAGGGAGGUGGACUAGGGUUCGUAGAUGGUGAUGAAGAAAAUGAAAGUGAGAAAGAGGAGGAAUUGGAGAGUGAGAAAGAGAAAGAGGAUGAUCAUCAACAUGAUGAUAAUGGAUCACUGAUGAGGUGUGAGUUAAUAUCGACAUCCCUGCAUGAUCCUAUCAAAACUUUUAGUAUUGACAGGUUUCAAGUUCCGAUGCCAAUAAAUGACCCAGAAGGAAAACAACUAACUGGUCAAAUUGUACUUAAAGGUCAGAUUUUGAAAAAUUUUGAACAUCUUAUGAAAAUUAUGAAGAACUAAAACAUAGGCGGACUUUUUAAGAAGCUGCUUUGGACGCUUUCUUGAGCUGCCUGAGAACCCCUCUGCCCGUACCUAUUUUCCUAUGACGAUGGUAUAUGGUCUUCUCAAGCGCAGGAUCAAGUACGCGGGAGAUGAUAAAGAUCCGGAGGAAGGGGGCAAAAAGAAGAUAGAUGAAAUCUAGAUCAAUUACUGUGGCAUGCCUAUUUGUUUUGGCUUGCAAGAGUUUUCCAUAGUGACAGGCUUGAGAUGCCAUUGUCCAGAAGGACCACCACCCCGCAAAAGAUCCAAGGCAAGAAAAUGCAAGGAAAAAAUAGAUGGGUUGUUUGACAUUGCUCGACGUGACUACAAAGCAUCGGAUUUGUUGAUAGAUCUCGAGGCUAAAACCAUAUCGGAACAGUACAAGGAGUAAUUGUGCUUAGUUUGGUUUGCCUAUUCGGUUAUAUUGGCAAGAGACAUCAACAAGGUCAUAGAAGAUGAUUUGUUGGCGCGUGCUGAGUAUUUUGAUAAAUUCAACAAUUAUCCCUGGGGAGAUGACAACUUCUACUUGACUUUCCAAUAUUUACUGACAAAGCUAUCCUCAGGGACGACCACAUUAUAUGGCUUUCCUUGGGCUUUCAUGGCUUGGACAUUUGAAGCCAUUCUUCCCCUCCGAAAGCAGUUAAUGGAUUAUCCAGAUGAGGUUGGUUGGCUGCAAAAAGCAAUACCAAUAUUAAGGAGGCUGAUCUCUUUAACCCUCUGGAUGAUGCAGUACGUCUUCUUCAAGUAAAAUAAUUCUACUCAAAGAUAAGAAAGAUAUUGAACAGAUGUUAUAUCUGGUACAACAGAUGUUAUAUCUGAUGCACCAGAUGGGACAACUAUUGUGACAGGGUAUAUCUUGCAUCAGAUUACCCAUCUGUUGCUUUGGUUCUCUGAACCCGACUUAUGCAACUGAUGUUUAAUCUGAUGACAUGUUGUUCAUUUGUUGCGACGUACAUAUCAUCUGUUGUAUAAUAGAUUACCCGUCUUGUGCAACUGUUGCAACAGACGAUUGAUAUUUUGCAUCAGAUUAUCCAUGUGUUGCUCUGUUUCUCUGAACCAGGCUCAAACGGAUUUUAACCAUAUACUGGAAACUAUGCAAUGGAUGGGUCUUUUUUUUUAAAUGUAGCGCAACUGUGAAAAUUAUUAUA